This 333-nucleotide unclassified non-coding RNA is filed under the name fungal sp. RNAcentral describes it as "partial internal transcribed spacer region". The stretch from base 1 to 46 matches the Rfam family "Eukaryotic small subunit ribosomal RNA", at positions 1786 to 1831 of the family's 1831-position model. Lineage: Eukaryota; Fungi. The record is from RNAcentral.
AAGUCGUAACAAGGUUUCCGUAGGUGAACCUGCGGAAGGAUCAUUAUUGAAUAAACUUGAUGGAUUGUUGCUGGCUCUGUUCAUAGAGAGUAUGUGCACGUCUGUCAUUUUUAUAUAUUCUCCAUGUGCACUAUGCAUAGACCUGAAUAUUUGGCUAAUCAAAGAUUUCUUUGAUUUCUGGAAAUUGCUGUUAUAAAUAUACCAGCUUUUUCUGUAUUCAGGUUCUGUGGAUUUUAUAUAUACUCCAAUGUAUGAUGAAUGAACGUUCUUAAAGGGCUUGGUAAAGCUCAUAAAUUUGUAAUACAACUUUCAGCAACGGAUCUCUUGGCUCUC